GACGAACGCUGGCGGCGUGCUUAACACAUGCAAGUCGAACGCUGAAGCUCAGCUUUUGUUGGGUGGAUGAGUGGCGAACGGGUGAGUAACACGUGAGUAACCUGCCUCCUUCUUUGGGAUAACGCCCGGAAACGGGUGCUAAUACUGGAUAUUCACUGGUCUUCGCAUGGGGGUUGGUGGAAAGGGUUUUUCUGGUGGGGGAUGGGCUCGCGGCCUAUCAGCUUGUUGGUGGGGUGAUGGCCUACCAAGGCUUUGACGGGUAGCCGGCCUGAGGGGGUGACCGGUCACGUUGGGACUGGGAUACGGCCCAGACUCCUACGGGAGGCAGCAGUGGGGAAUAUUGCACAAUGGGCGCAAGACUGAUGCAGCGACGCCGCGUGAGGGAUGGAGGCCUUCGGGUUGUGAACCUCUUUCGCUCAUGGUCAAGCCGCAACAAUGGUUGUGGUGAGGGUAGUGGGUAAAGAAGCGCCGGCUAACUACGUG
Molecule: ribosomal RNA, 483 nt
Filed under: uncultured bacterium
Lineage: Bacteria
Description: partial 16S ribosomal RNA
Rfam family: Bacterial small subunit ribosomal RNA
Source: RNAcentral